Molecule: ribosomal RNA, 119 nt
Filed under: Thamnolecania brialmontii
Lineage: Eukaryota; Fungi; Ascomycota; Lecanoromycetes; Lecanorales; Ramalinaceae
Description: partial 28S ribosomal RNA
Rfam family: Eukaryotic large subunit ribosomal RNA
Source: RNAcentral
UAAUUGACCUCGGAUCAGGUAGGGAUACCCGCUGAACUUAAGCAUAUCAAUAAGCGGAGGAAAAGAAACCAACAGGGAUUGCCUCAGUAACGGCGAGUGAAGCGGCAACAGCUCAAAUA